RNAcentral lists this ribosomal RNA (292 nucleotides) under uncultured bacterium. RNAcentral describes it as "partial 16S ribosomal RNA". It matches the Rfam family "Archaeal small subunit ribosomal RNA", at positions 455 to 747 of the family's 1478-position model. The record is from RNAcentral.
GUGCCAGCCGCCGCGGUAAUACCGGCAGCCCAAGUGAUGGCCGCUGUUAUUGGGCCUAAAGCGUCCGUAGCUGGCCGCACAAGUCCGUCGGGAAAUCCGCCCGCUCAACGGGCGGCCGUCCGGCGGAACCUGUGUGGCUUGGGACCGGGAGGCCUGAGGGGUACGUCCGGGGUAGGAGUGAAAUCCUGUAAUCCUGGACGGACCGCCGGUGGCGAAAGCGCCUCGGGAGGACGGACCCGACGGUGAGGGACGAAAGCCAGGGUCUCGAACCGGAUUAGAAACCCUGGAGUCC